GACGAACGCUGGCGGCGUGCUUAACACAUGCAAGUCGAACGGAAAGGCCCUGCUUUUGUGGGGUGCCCGAGUGGCGAACGGGUGAGUAACACGUGAGUAACCUGCCCUUGACUUUGGGAUAGCUUCAGGAAACGGGGGCUAAUCUCGGAUAGGAGCUCCUGUUGCAUGGUGGGGGUGGGAAAGUUUCGGCGGGUGGGGAUGGACUGGCGGCUGAUGGGUUUGUUGGUGGGCGAGUGGCUUACCAAGGCAUUGACGGGUAGCCGGCAUGAGAGGGUGACCGGCCACAUUGGGCCUGCGAGACGGCCCAGAGUCCUACGGGAGGCAGCAGUGGGGAAUAUUGCACAAUGGGCGGAAGCCUGAUGAAGCAACGCCGCGAGCGGGAUGACGGCCUUCGGGUUGUAAACCGCUUUCGCCUGUGACGAAGCGUGAGUGACGGUAAUGGGUAAAGAAGCACCGGCUAACUACGUG
Molecule: ribosomal RNA, 468 nt
Filed under: uncultured bacterium
Lineage: Bacteria
Description: partial 16S ribosomal RNA
Rfam family: Bacterial small subunit ribosomal RNA
Source: RNAcentral